GAUGAACGCUGGCGGCGUGCUUAACACAUGCAAGUCGAACGGAAAGGCUCCUGCUUGCAGGGGUACUCGAGUGGCGAACGGGUGAGUAACACGUGGGUGAUCUGCCCUGCACUUCGGGAUAAGCCUGGGAAACUGGGUCUAAUACCGGAUAGGACGAUGGUUUGGAUGCCAUUGUGGAAAGUUUUUCGGUGUGGGAUGAGCUCGCGGCCUAUCAGCUUGUUGGUGGGGUAAUGGCCUACCAAGGCGUCGACGGGUAGCCGGCCCGAGAGGGUGUACGGCCACAUUGGGACUGAGAUACGGCCCAGACUCCUACGGGAGGCAGCAGUGGGGAAUAUUGCACAAUGGGCGCAAGCCUGAUGCAGCGACGCCGCGUGGGGGAUGACGGCCUUCGGGUUGUAAACUCCUUUCGCUAGGGACGAAGCGCAAGUGACGGUACCUGGAGAAGAAGCACCGGCUAACUACGUG
Molecule: ribosomal RNA, 465 nt
Filed under: uncultured bacterium
Lineage: Bacteria
Description: partial 16S ribosomal RNA
Rfam family: Bacterial small subunit ribosomal RNA
Source: RNAcentral